Molecule: unclassified non-coding RNA, 343 nt
Filed under: soil metagenome
Description: partial contains 5.8S ribosomal RNA, internal transcribed spacer 2, and large subunit ribosomal RNA
Rfam family: 5.8S ribosomal RNA (bases 1-120)
Source: RNAcentral
GAUGAAGAACGUAGCGAAAUGCGAUACGUAAUGUGAAUUGCAGAAUUCAGUGAAUCAUCGAAUCUUUGAACGCACAUUGCGCCCGCCAGCAUUCUGGCGGGCAUGCCUGUUCGAGCGUCAUUUCAACCCUCGAGCCCCCCCGGGGGCCUCGGUGUUGGGGGACGGCACACCAGCCGCCCCCGAAAUGCAGUGGCGACCCCGCCGCAGCCUCCCCUGCGUAGUAGCACACACCUCGCACCGGAGCGCGGAGGCGGUCACGCCGUAAAACGCCCAACUUUCUUAGAGUUGACCUCGGAUCAGGUAGGAAUACCCGCUGAACUUAAGCAUAUCAAUAAGCGGAGGA